This 26-nucleotide non-coding RNA is filed under the name Cricetulus griseus (Chinese hamster). Lineage: Eukaryota; Metazoa; Chordata; Mammalia; Rodentia; Cricetidae. The record is from RNAcentral. RNAcentral also lists the same sequence under 1 other name.
GGGGCUGGAGAGAUGGCUCAGCGGUU